GACGAACGCUGGCGGCGUGCUUAACACAUGCAAGUCGAGCGGUAAGGCCCUUUCGGGGGUACACGAGCGGCGAACGGGUGAGUAACACGUGGGUGACCUGCCUUUAGCUCUGGGAUAAGCCUGGGGAAACUGGGUCUAAUACCGGAUAUGACCCUAUGGCGCAUGUUGUGGGGUGGAAAGCCUUGUGCGGCUAGGGAUGGGCCCGCGGCCUAUCAGCUUGUUGGUGGGGUGAU
Molecule: ribosomal RNA, 233 nt
Filed under: uncultured bacterium
Lineage: Bacteria
Description: partial 16S ribosomal RNA
Rfam family: Bacterial small subunit ribosomal RNA
Source: RNAcentral